Molecule: ribosomal RNA, 866 nt
Filed under: uncultured organism
Description: bacterial SSU rRNA
Rfam family: Bacterial small subunit ribosomal RNA
Source: RNAcentral
ACACAUGCAAGUCAAGGGGAAAGUCUCAGCUUGCUGAGAUGAGUAUACUGGCGGAUGGGUGAGUAACACGUAGGUAAUCUGCCCUUAGGACAGGGAUAACAUUGCUAACGCGAUGCUAAUACCUGAUGAAGCAACUGUUGAAUCAGAUGGUUGUUAAAGGCUGGCUUUCAGCUAGCGCCUGAGGAUGAGCCUGCGUCUCAUUAGCUAGUUGGUAGGGUAAUGGCCUACCAAGGCGACGAUGGGUAGCCGGCCUGAGAGGGUGAGCGGCCACACUGGGACUGAGAUACGGCCCAGACUCCUACGGGAGGCAGCAGUGAGGAAUAUUGCGCAAUGGCCGAAAGGUUGACGCAGCGACGCCGCGUGAGGGAUGAAGCUUUUAGGAGUGUAAACCUCUGUUAGGAGGGAAGAAAUAAUGGCAAUUCGAACAGGGUUGUCAGAUGACGGUACCUCCAGAGGAAGCCCCGGCUAACUCCGUGCCAGCAGCCGCGGUAAUACGGGGGGGGCUAGCGUUGUCCGGAAUUACUGGGCGUAAAGGGCGCGUAGGCGGGAUAGCAAGUCAGUGGUGCAAACUUUGAGGCUUUAAACUUCAAAGCUUGCCAUUGAUACUGUUAUUCUUGAGUUCGGCAGAGGGAAGUGGAAUUCCUGGUGUAGCGGUGAAAUGCGUAGAUAUCAGGAAGAACACCGGUGGCGAAGGCGGCUUCCUGGUCCGAUACUGACGCUGAGGCGCGAAAGCGUGGGGAGCGAACAGGAUUAGAUACCCUGGUAGUCCACGCUGUAAACGAUGGGUACUAGGUGUUGGUUGUAUUGAUCAGCGCCGGAGCAAACGCAUUAAGUACCCCGCCUGGGGGAUACGGUCGCAAGACUGA